CCCCUAGUAACGGCGAGUGAAGAGGGAAAAGCUCAAAUUUAAAAUCUGGCGGUCUACGGCCGUCCGAGUUGUAAUCUAGAGAAGUGUUUUCCGCGCUGGACCGUGUACAAGUCCUUUGGAACAAGGCGUCAUAGAGGGUGAGAAUCCCGUCUACGACACGGACUGCCAAGCGCUUUGUGAUACACUCUCAACGAGUCGAGUUGUUUGGGAAUGCAGCUCAAAAUGGGUGGUAAAUUCCAUCUAAAGCUAAAUAUGGGCGAAAGACCGAUAGCGAACAAGUACCGUGAGGGAAAGAUGAAAAGCACUUUGGAAAGAGAGUUAAACAGUACGUGAAAUUGUUGAAAGGGAAACGCUUGAAGUCAGUCGCGUCUUCAGAAAUUCAGCAGGGCUUCUGCCCUGUGUACUUUUCUGUGGGACGGGCCAGCAUCAGUUUUGGCUGCCAGAAAAAGGUGGGAGGAAGGUGGCACCUCUGGGUGUGUUAUAGCCUCCGAUCGUAUGUGGCAGCCGGGACUGAGGACUGCAGCACGCCUUCAUGGCCGGGGUUCGCCCACGUAACGUGCUUAGGAUGCUGGCGUAAUGGCUUUAAGCGACCCGUCUUGAAACACGGACCAAGGAGUCUAACAUGCCUGCGAGUAUUUGGGUGGCAAACCCAUAUGCGCAAUGAAAGUGAACGGUUGGGACUUCUGUCAUGGAAGGCACCGACGCCCGGACCAGACCUAUUGUGACGGAUCCGAGGUAGAGCAUGUAUGUUGGGACCCGAAAGAUGGUGAACUAUGCCUGAGUAGGGUGAAGCCAGAGGAAACUCUGGUGGAGGCUCGUAGCGAUUCUGACGUGCAAAUCGAUCGUCGAACUUGGGUAUAGGGGCGAAAGACUAAUCGAACCA
Molecule: ribosomal RNA, 883 nt
Filed under: Geastrum triplex
Lineage: Eukaryota; Fungi; Basidiomycota; Agaricomycetes; Geastrales; Geastraceae
Also listed under: 1 other name
Description: LSU rRNA
Rfam family: Eukaryotic large subunit ribosomal RNA
Source: RNAcentral